RNAcentral lists this unclassified non-coding RNA (1386 nucleotides) under Gigantopelta aegis. RNAcentral's name for it is "meiotic recombination protein DMC1/LIM15 homolog, transcript variant X1". Lineage: Eukaryota; Metazoa; Mollusca; Gastropoda; Neomphalida; Peltospiridae. The record is from RNAcentral.
CUCGGUAUCAUGUGAUCAAAUUUACAGCAGACGACAAAAUUAAUCUGUACGAUUUUAUGGGCCGAUCUGAGACUUAUAUUGAUAAUUUGUGAUUAUUUUUAAUUACAAUGGAGGCAGAAGAUCAGGUUGUAGAAGAAGAUUUAGUGAAUGAUGAUGACGAGGAAUCAUUAUUUGUUGACAUUGACCAACUCCAGAAUCAUGGCAUUAAUGUAGCUGACAUUAAGAAACUAAAGCAGUCAGGAAUAUGUACAAUAAAGGGAAUACAAAUGACUACACGAAAAAAGUUGUGCAAUAUUAAAGGCAUAUCAGAAGCCAAAAUGGAGAAGAUCAAAGAAGCUGCUGGAAAACUGAAUGAUCCUGGAUUUUUGACAGCUCUUGAAUAUGCAGAUAAAAGAAAAAUGGUUUUUAAAGUAUCAAGUGGAAGCCAAGAAUUGGAUAAAUUGCUUCGUGGUGGUAUUGAGUCGAUGGCAAUUACUGAAGCUUUUGGAGAAUUCCGGACUGGAAAAACACAGCUGUCACAUACACUUUGUGUUACUGCACAGCUUCCAGGUGCUAAUGGUUAUACAGGAGGAAAAGUUGUUUUUAUUGAUACAGAAAAUACAUUUCGACCUGACAGACUUAGAAGUAUUGCAGAUAGAUUUAACUUGGAUCAAAAUGCAGUCCUUGACAAUGUGCUUUAUGCAAGAGCUUAUACAAGUGAGCAUCAGUAUGAACUAAUGGACUAUGUUGCUGCAAAAUUUUAUGAAGAACCUGGGGUAUUCAAAUUAUUGAUUGUUGACUCCAUAAUGGCAUUGUUUAGAGUGGACUUUUGUGGGAGAGGAGAGUUAGCAGAUCGUCAACAAAAACUAGCACAACUUCUCUCAAGACUACAAAAAACUGCUGAAGUUUCCAAGCCGAUCCAAAGAAGCCAAUUGGAGGACACAUCUUAGCACAUGCCUCUACCACCAGAAUAUCCCUAAGGAAGGGCAGAGGUGAAAACCGAAUUGCAAAAAUAUAUGACAGUCCUGACCUACCUGAAAAUGAAGCUACAUUUGCUAUAAGUGGAGGAGGAAUAACCGAUUCAAAGGAAUAAUUGACAAUUCUGCUGCCAUCACUCUUGAAUAUACUUUUACAAAUGCAUGUAGGAGAUUAAGAAAGAUAUACGAAUGUGCAUGAAUCUAUGACACUUUUUAUUUAUAAAGAUCCAUUAUAAAUAGUGACAAAUAAGACCAGAUUUGAGUAAACCAAUACCUUUUGUUAGCAUGAAUAUGUGUGAGAUUUCCUAUCAUGUAAAUAUUGCAGUUUUGUUAAAAUACAACAUAUUUAUUUAAUAUAUUUAUAUGGUCUUAGGCACAGAAGUGACUAAUUAAUGUUGUUAUUAUUGAAUAACAUUGUUGUUACAACAUA